Molecule: long non-coding RNA, 1244 nt
Filed under: Homo sapiens (human)
Lineage: Eukaryota; Metazoa; Chordata; Mammalia; Primates; Hominidae
Description: non-protein coding lnc-LYZL1-15:20
Source: RNAcentral
GCUGAAUAGCUGAGAGGCGCACCCGGGCGGCCAGCUGGGCUCGGAGUGCAGCGGGGUUAGGAUGGACGAGGACGUGUUGCACCCUGAAGAGCCUCAUCAUCGCCUGCUCUUGAGGUUCACAGAUGAUACCUUUGAUCCAGAACUUGCAGCAACAAUAGAUCCAUCUUCGGUUGUGAAUCCGGCCCGGAAUGCAGCCACCCCUUAGAGCAACCCCCCUUGCUGCUCGUGCCCUGCUGUGCUACUGCCUCAGUCACUUCCUGCUUGGUCAAGACCACAGCUGCUGAUGUCACAGCUGAGGCACAUCAGAAAGGCUGCCUGAUUCAAAGAAAGCUGCCGGAUAAAUCAUAGAGCACAGACACUUCUACCUCAUGCUCUUAUGGGACUUUAGGAACCAAACAUAAGCACCUAUGGAAAAUGCACGGCGGUCUUGAAAGGCUGUGGUCUUUAUCAGAAAAUAUCUGAAUGACUGUUUGUUAUGUCAGUCCUACUCUGCAGGCUUGCUAAGAUGAUGAUUGAAAGGGCUCUUGGUUUCUGCUUUGGAAUCUGGCAUUUAUGUUUUGAAGCGUUGUGAGCAAGCGAUGUGGCAGAUUGCAGGGUGAGGGGGACAAACCUGGGCCAGGAGCCAGGGGUUUCUCUACCCCCUUCCCUGACUUACAGCUGGAACUGGGCUCAGUGGUUUCAGCCUCAUUUGCUAAGAAGGUCUGGGUAUGUAAUCCUGGCUGCAUCUUAAAAUCCCUAGGAGCUUUUAAGACAUAUUGACACAUAAGCUCUAACUCACAUGAAACGAAAACACAUCUCUGGGGCUGGGCUGAGCAAAUGCAUUUUUUAAAAGGCCCCUCAGGUGAUUCUGUCUCAGAGAUGUUGAAAACCAGUGGGUUAGGAGCUCAGUCAUCCACUUUCAGAUCUGUGAUUAUGCCACUAUUAAAUACAGUUGGCUAUCACAUAGAUUUUAUGCUUUAGCUUGUUCUUUUUUCCUUUGCUAUACCAAAUAAAAUCUUCUGAGCUGUAGUUCCAGUCCUUAAAAUAAUGGUUGUUACCAUACUGAGGUUAAACAUUAGUGCAUUUGCUUAACAAGGACUUUAAAACUUAUCACACUGCCAUAAUUUUUAAUGGUUUCUAUAAUGAUUAAUUAAUAAGAAAAUCAAUAAUUGGAUUUUAAGCAGGAAACUAGGCAGGAAAGUUGAAAUUCAUAGACCAAUUCAAUGGAAAACAUUAAAAUGUAUUGGGAGAUGCCCAAUAUUCUA